This 398-nucleotide long non-coding RNA is filed under the name Elaeis guineensis (African oil palm). Its description in RNAcentral is "long non-coding RNA (EGUI_LNC008371)". Lineage: Eukaryota; Viridiplantae; Streptophyta; Magnoliopsida; Arecales; Arecaceae. The record is from RNAcentral.
GAUUAGGAUGCAUUUUACUGCCUUUGAUUUUGUUGCCCCAGCAAUGUAAUAGGCUCAGCACAUGGCCUGGGGUGCCAAAUUUAAGAUAAAGAGGAAUUUUUUGUGCACCGCGGGGGGUGCAGAACUGCAUGCAUCACCCAUGAUGAUUAGUUCACACACAGGGCUGGAGUGCGAUGUCCCAAAAAUUUUUUUUUCGUUGGCCCCGUGUGGGAACUAAUUAUCAUGGACGGUGCGUCCGGUUCUGCACUGCCUAUGGUGCACAAAGAAUUUCACUUUAAAAUAAACAUUUUGGUUAAGGCUAAGGAUGCAAGUGGGCUCAUUACACACCAAAGAUAUCCGAUUCUUCUUAUAAGAUGGACCUGAUAAGGCAGCUCAGACAAUGGAGUCAAUUUGGGCCU